UUUAUGGAGAGUUUGAUCCUGGCUCAGGAUGAACGCUGGCGGCGUGCCUAAUACAUGCAAGUCGAGCGAACGGACGAGAAGCUUGCUUCUCUGAUGUUAGCGGCGGACGGGUGAGUAACACGUGGAUAACCCACCUAUAAGACUGGGAUAACUUCGGGAAACCGGAGCUAAUACCGGAUAAUAUUUU
Molecule: ribosomal RNA, 187 nt
Filed under: Staphylococcus aureus
Lineage: Bacteria; Bacillati; Bacillota; Bacilli; Caryophanales; Staphylococcaceae
Description: partial 16S ribosomal RNA
Rfam family: Bacterial small subunit ribosomal RNA
Source: RNAcentral